Molecule: long non-coding RNA, 1887 nt
Filed under: Octopus sinensis (East Asian common octopus)
Lineage: Eukaryota; Metazoa; Mollusca; Cephalopoda; Octopoda; Octopodidae
Description: uncharacterized LOC118764029
Source: RNAcentral
AUAUUUUCUGUUUUUCAUUUUCCUUUUCUAGCAUGGAUAGAAUGGUUUUGACAUAUUGAAUGUGGAUGUCUUUCUUAUGGCUAACCACUCUGUUAUUCAUUUAGAAAUGGAAAGUUAUGCAUCUUCCAUAGCGACACAACAAAAUGGAUGGGGAAAUGUUUCCAUUUAUGACCAUCGAGCCAGUUGUUUGAUAUGCUAAUCUUACUGUUAUUUCCCCCUAUAGCUUUUGUAAUUUAAGUAUAUUAUUCACUCUUUUGGGUAUGCAUUGGUAAUAUUCAACCCUUUAGCAUUUAAAUUGGUCAUAUCUGGCCCAAAGAUCCUAUCUGUUUUACAUUCUGACCAGAUCCAGCUCUCACACCUACCCUACAAUGUCAUUCUAAAGAUAAACAAAUAUAUUAUCAAUAUCUGAAUGCUUUGAGAGAAUGCAUGAUGAAUUUUUUUAAAUGCGAAUAAGCAUUACAUUUGACAGAAUAAUCUGAAUGCUAAAGACUUAAUUUUUGUAGCUGUUUAAUAAACGUUUUAGUUGAAAUUAAUAUAUUCAUGUAAGAAAAGUAAAUACUUUGUGAAAGCUGCUUUCUAUGCUUAUGGAAUGAAGUAAGCAAAAAUAAUAUGAUAGAGGUUUUGAAAAUAGACCAAUAUGCAUAACUUCAUCUUCUGUGAGGUUUAUCUUUGUCUGUAGAUGCAUCUUGCAUCCACCAUAAGAUUGCAUUGUGUCCAGAUUUAGAUCAGCAAAGUAUUCUUUCCUUCCAGGAAUGCUCUUCUCUGUAGAAGGAAGAACCCCAAAGUGUGUAGACUGUAGAUGAGGAAGUUUCUCCGGUCAAGCCAAAUACCUCUAUGCAUUGAGAGGUCACAGCUCUAGUACUACAGAUAUGUGAUUUAAAUGUUGCUGAAAAGAACCACAAGAUAGAUUCUUCAAGCUGAGCCAACCAGCGGGAGACCUAGGGGAAACCAAGAAUAAGACGGUUGGAUAAUAUCCUUAGUGUCAAUUUGCCAUGCUUAGGAAUCCAGCCUCAAAAGGUGUCUGAGGACUCUGCCCCCAUGACUUUCCCUGGAAUAGUGGGCAGAGAAGAUGGAUUGAUAUGUAUUUUUUUUUUUGGUUAUACAUAUGAAUCAAUAAUAAGGUUGAAAUCAUUAAAGAAACUAUGAGGGUGGACUGAGAAGUUCAUAGGCUGACUAUGCAAGAGUAAUGCUAGAGCUAUAAAAUCUUGCAUACAUUAAUUUCAACUCUUCUGACAUCUGACUGUUCAAAGAAGACUUCAAAAGUAACUAGUUGCAACUUUUCUUGAAAAUGGGCAAAAUUUGGCAUUGAGUGUUUUCAAUUAUCUGCAAGAAAAGGGUUUAGCCUUUAAGGACAUUCAUGCCAAUAUGGUUGCUAUAUUAGGGGAUGACACUGCAGUUUAGCCAACUGUGCAAAAUUGGGCAGGAGAAUUUUGGAGUGGAAGGGGCGAAUCUUGAAGGUGACUCAAAGUCUUGGACGUCCUGCAACUGCUAUCACUGAGGAAAACAUUGAUUAUGUUCAAUUGCACAUAACAAUUGCUAUUAACAUAAUCUGUGAGUGAGUUGAGAAAAUUCUGCUCAAUGAUUUUGGCAUGAUGGUUUCUGCAUGGUGAGUGCCAUUUCUUCUGGCAUCUAAUCAUGGGCACACAAGGCUGAUCACAUCAUGGGAAGAUCUGACAUUGUUUGAGGCAGACUUAGCUGGUUUCCUAGAACAUUUCCUAAUCCAAGAUAAGUAAUGGGUCCAUCACUUUGAGUUAGAGGCAAUCCAUGCAGUGAAAACACCCUUCCUUAUCUGCUCCCCCCCCAAAAAAAAGGGCCAUGGUUGUUUCAUAUGCAGGGAAUGUGAUGGCUUCAGCCUUUUGGGAUGCAAAAGGCAUUAUGUUUAUUGAC